This 301-nucleotide ribosomal RNA is filed under the name uncultured bacterium. RNAcentral describes it as "partial 16S ribosomal RNA". It matches the Rfam family "Bacterial small subunit ribosomal RNA", at positions 509 to 807 of the family's 1533-position model. The record is from RNAcentral.
CAGCCGCCGCGGUAAUACGAAGGGUGCAAGCGUUAAUCGGAAUUACUGGGCGUAAAGCGUGCGUAGGCGGUUUGUUAAGUCUGUUGUGAAAUCCCCGGGCUCAACCUGGGAAUGGCAAUGGAUACUGGCAAGCUAGAGUGUGUCAGAGGAUGGUGGAAUUCCCGGUGUAGCGGUGAAAUGCGUAGAGAUCGGGAGGAACAUCAGUGGCGAAGGCGGCCAUCUGGGACAACACUGACGCUGAGGCACGAAAGCGUGGGGAGCAAACAGGAUUAGAUACCCGGGUAGUCCCUGUCUCUUAUAC